UGAAAGCGUUGCCGCAGGCAACGACCCGAAGGGCGAAGCGCGCAGCGCUGAGUCAUCCUUCCCCCACCACCA
This 72-nucleotide small RNA is filed under the name Salmonella enterica subsp. enterica serovar Dublin. RNAcentral's name for it is "partial RtT sRNA". It matches the Rfam family "RtT RNA", at positions 60 to 130 of the family's 130-position model. From Rfam's summary of the family: This family represents a bacterial cis-regulatory element known as RtT RNA. The record is from RNAcentral. Lineage: Bacteria; Pseudomonadati; Pseudomonadota; Gammaproteobacteria; Enterobacterales; Enterobacteriaceae.